Molecule: unclassified non-coding RNA, 254 nt
Filed under: Hevea brasiliensis (rubber tree)
Lineage: Eukaryota; Viridiplantae; Streptophyta; Magnoliopsida; Malpighiales; Euphorbiaceae
Source: RNAcentral
UACUCGACUGGAAGAGCCUGCACCUGGUGUAACGACUAUAGUUAGAUGUUGUGAAGACUGAAGAACAAACACAAGAUAAAUCCAAAAUGAACAAACACGUAGGAAUUUAGCCCAAAACAGAUUUGAAGGCAGCUAGACAAUGAUGCAUUUAAAAGAGCUCAAGAUCGUAAUGGAUUUUGCAUAUUUCUUUCAGACAACUCCAAAACUUUUCCAGCUCAAACAGAUAUUUAAAAGUUAGAGAGAGAGAGAGAGAG